AAGUCGUAACAAGGUUUCCGUAGGUGAACCUGCGGAAGGAUCAUUACUGUUGGCUUUAAUCUUUUACUUGUGGUAUGGGCUUCGGCCUUGCCCAAGUGAAGACCUUCACCUGUGCACUGUCUUACGUUAGCUCCCUUUUGGCAGCACUGGCUAUGGGCUUUUUUCUUUGGGUUUUUGCUAGUGUGUCGCUGGAAGGGUAGCACUUAUCCUACCUUUUGUAUCUUUGAUUUUUUGGCUGAAGUUUGGACUUUACUGCUCUUAGUAGCGUAAAACCAUAAUACAACUUUCAACGAUGGAUCUCUAGGCUCCCA
RNAcentral lists this unclassified non-coding RNA (311 nucleotides) under fungal sp. Its description in RNAcentral is "partial internal transcribed spacer region". The stretch from base 1 to 46 matches the Rfam family "Eukaryotic small subunit ribosomal RNA", at positions 1786 to 1831 of the family's 1831-position model. The record is from RNAcentral. Lineage: Eukaryota; Fungi.